This 235-nucleotide unclassified non-coding RNA is filed under the name uncultured fungus. RNAcentral's name for it is "sequence contains ITS2". The record is from RNAcentral. Lineage: Eukaryota; Fungi.
AACGCACAUUGCGCCCUUUGGUAUUCCGAGGGGCACGCCUGUUCGAGCGUCAUUUAAACCAUCAAGCCCCGCUUGGUCUUGGACGCGGUCGAGCGACCCGUCCGUAACCCGUUGGCGGUGCAGUCCGGCUUCAAGCGUAGCAAGAAUUUCGCUUCAGGAGUCCGCGGCGGCGUCUGCCAGGAAACACCACCCAAAGUUUGACCUCGGAUCAGGUGAGGAUACCCGCUGAACUUAA